Molecule: small nuclear RNA, 130 nt
Filed under: Bos taurus (domestic cattle)
Lineage: Eukaryota; Metazoa; Chordata; Mammalia; Artiodactyla; Bovidae
Description: U4 spliceosomal RNA (ENSBTAG00000069575.1, ENSBTAG00085022487.1, ENSBTAG00090033235.1, ENSBTAG00095032917.1)
Rfam family: U4 spliceosomal RNA (bases 1-75)
About the family: U4 small nuclear RNA (U4 snRNA) is a component of the major U2-dependent spliceosome. The structure of U4 snRNA from yeast and human has been reported.
Source: RNAcentral
AGCUUUGCAUAGUGGCAGUAUCAUAACCAGUGAGGUUUAUGAGGUGUGAUUAUUGCUAAUUGAAAAAAAAAAAAAGAUAGACAAACUUAAAUGUAAAACGUAAAACUAUAGAACUUCUAGAAAACAAUGU